Molecule: non-coding RNA, 82 nt
Organism: Candidatus Roizmanbacteria bacterium
Lineage: Bacteria; Candidatus Roizmaniibacteriota
Source: Rfam
GCCGCGGUGGUGGAAUGGCAGACACGCAGGACUUAAAAUCCUGUGCCCCAAAGGCGUGAGAGUUCGACUCUCUCCCGCGGCA